This 460-nucleotide ribosomal RNA is filed under the name uncultured bacterium. RNAcentral describes it as "partial 16S ribosomal RNA". It matches the Rfam family "Bacterial small subunit ribosomal RNA", at positions 338 to 795 of the family's 1533-position model. The record is from RNAcentral.
CCUACGGGAGGCAGCAGUGAGGAAUAUUGGUCAAUGGACGAGAGUCUGAACCAGCCAAGUAGCGUGAAGGAUGACUGCCCUAUGGGUUGUAAACUUCUUUUAUAUGGGAAUAAAAUGUUCCACGUGUGGCAUUUUGUAUGUACCAUAUGAAUAAGGAUCGGCUAACUCCGUGCCAGCAGCCGCGGUAAUACGGAGGAUCCGAGCGUUAUCCGGAUUUAUUGGGUUUAAAGGGUGCGUAGGUGGAUUGUUAAGUCAGUGGUGAAAGUCUGCGGCUCAACCGUAGAAUUGCAGUUGAAACUGGCAGUCUUGAGUACAGUAGAGGUAGGCGGAAUGCGUGGUGUAGCGGUGAAAUGCUUAGAUAUCACGCAGAACUCCGAUUGCGAAGGCAGCUCACUGGACUGCAACUGACGCUGAGGCUCGAAAGUGUGGGUAUCAAACAGGAUUAGAUACCCUGGUAGUC